RNAcentral lists this ribosomal RNA (504 nucleotides) under uncultured bacterium. RNAcentral's name for it is "bacterial SSU rRNA". It matches the Rfam family "Bacterial small subunit ribosomal RNA", at positions 20 to 518 of the family's 1533-position model. The record is from RNAcentral.
UGGCUCAGGAUGAACGCUAGCGGCAGGCCUAACACAUGCAAGUCGCGGGGCAGCACGGGUAGCAAUACCUGGUGGCGACCGGCGCACGGGUGCGUAACGCGUAUGCAACCUGCCCCCAUCAGGGGAAUAGCCCGCGAAAGGCGGAUUAAUGCCCCAUAGGCCCAGGGCGCCGCAUGGCGCUAUGGGUAAAGCUCCGGCGGAUGGGGAUGGGCAUGCGUGCCGUUAGCUAGUUGGGGCGGUAACGGCGCACCAAGGCGACGAUGGCUAGGGGGUCUGAGAGGAUGGUCCCCCACACUGGUACUGAGACACGGACCAGACUCCUACGGGAGGCAGCAGUGAGGAAUAUUGGUCAAUGGGCGGAAGCCUGAACCAGCCAUGCCCGCGUGCAGGAUGACGGCCCUACGGGUUGUAAACUGCUUUUCCCCGGGAAGAAUAAGCCCCUCGUGAGGGGUGAUCGCCGGUACCGGGGGAAUAAGGAUCGGCUAACUCCGUGCCAGCAGCAGC